AAACUUAAAGGAAUUGACGGAAGGGCACCACCAGGAGUGGAGCCUGCGGCUUAAUUUGACUCAACACGGGGAAACUUACCAGGUCCAGACAUAGUAAGGAUUGACAGACUGAGAGCUCUUUCUUGAUUCUGUGGGUGGUGGUGCGUGGCCGUUCUUAGUUGGUGGAGCGAUUUGUCUGGUUAAUUCCGAUAACGAACGAGACUCCGGCAUGCCAACUAGUUACGCGGCCCCGUGCGGUCGGCGUCCAACUUCUUAGAGGGACAAGUGGCGUUCAGCCACACGAGAUUGAGCAAUAACAGGUCUGUGAUGCCCUUAG
This 316-nucleotide ribosomal RNA is filed under the name Actinopterygii environmental sample. RNAcentral describes it as "SSU rRNA". It matches the Rfam family "Eukaryotic small subunit ribosomal RNA", at positions 1140 to 1476 of the family's 1831-position model. The record is from RNAcentral. Lineage: Eukaryota; Metazoa; Chordata.